CCCGAAAUGAGUUGGAGACACGCUAAUCUUGAAAGAGGAUAUCUCCCUGGCAUAUGAGAAAUUAAACUUCUCCACCUUUAAGCCAACGGCUUUUAUUUUGCUUUGUAUAAAAGCAGUUACAUCAUUAGAUGUGAGGUCAGGGGCAAGCCGAGAGACAAAAACUUGCCGCUUUGGCUCCCACCAGAGGUUUUGGCACCACAGAUCUGGUACCUGUGACGGCAAUAUCCGGUGGUCCGGGACGUUUAUUAAGUGGUGGGAUCGAAAUAGAUGGGAUGGGCUUUGGAACGGACUCGACAGACACGGACGCUACAGUACUAACUGGCUGCAUGUUCUCCGAGAUGAUCGAUUCGGAAGCCGAAACUUGAUCACCAGCAGUUGUCGUUGCCCUUGGAGUAGCGAACGAAAUUAGCUGCUGCACUAUCGGAGUGGACGGAGAUAGUUGAUCAGCAGCGAGCGGUCGAGGGACAGGCACUUGCAGAUCACGAGGAGUGACUUUUUUGCGCCUAGGAGACUCAUUCAGCACUUUAAAACUGCUGAAUUGAGAUUCCAUGGCUAGAAGCCGAUCGUACUGCUUUUUAAAGCACACGGUCAGCUCCUUAAAGCCCUUUCGCGUCUGCCUCAUAAACGUGACCAUGUCAUUCUCGAUAGACCGACAUGCCNUUGUCGUUGCCCUUGGAGUAGCGAACGAAAUUAGCUGCUGCACUAUCGGAGUGGACGGAGAUAGUUGAUCAGCAGCGAGCGGUCGAGGGACAGGCACUUGCAGAUCACGAGGAGUGACUUUUUUGCGCCUAGGAGACUCAUUCAGCACUUUAAAACUGCUGAAUUGAGAUUCCAUGGCUAGAAGCCGAUCGUACUGCUUUUUAAAGCACACGGUCAGCUCCUUAAAGCCCUUUCGCGUCUGCCUAAUAAACGUGACCAUGUCACUCUCGAUAGACCGACAUGCCUCGCAACUGUAAUGCAGACCAUUACGCUUCGAAAUUGCGUCACCCACGAGGCCUGAGAACCCAAUACAUUUUGCGUGCACUACGUUAUUGCAGAGCCAGCAAGGGAUGAUCGGUUGGUCGUGGGUGAUCUGCUUUUUGCAAGUCUUAGCGGAGCACACAACCAAGCCAGAAAAUAAAAUCAUUGCACCACCAAAACAUCUCGAGUCAUUGCGCAGAUCUUUUAAUGUUCGGUCUAGUGCUUCCAAUGCUCGUUUGUGCGCCAUUGAACAUGCGUCCCAUAUGAUGAUUUUUGAUGCUACUAAAACUUUGGCCAUUGCGUAGUUUUUCGAAAUGUUCAUUCUGGACGUUGAUAUGCAAUGACUGCACCAUCAAGUGGCCCAUGCGACACCAAGCCAAAGCCUGUUACGCGCGGAACCUAGCAGAACGCAGCCCUCCUCCCGCCCAACCGACCGAGGGGCGCUGCCGCAUGACGCGCGGCGCGAUUAACCGAACCAGUCGCGAGCAUGCAGGAAAGAUAGAUGUUAGGCUAAUAUUCGAGGAAAAUUAGAUCUAAU
This 1498-nucleotide long non-coding RNA is filed under the name Drosophila guanche. Lineage: Eukaryota; Metazoa; Arthropoda; Insecta; Diptera; Drosophilidae. The record is from RNAcentral.